This 246-nucleotide ribosomal RNA is filed under the name uncultured bacterium. Its description in RNAcentral is "partial 16S ribosomal RNA". It matches the Rfam family "Bacterial small subunit ribosomal RNA", at positions 57 to 305 of the family's 1533-position model. The record is from RNAcentral.
GCAAGUCGAGCGGAAACAAAGAGUAGCUUGCUACUCUGGCGUCGAGCAGCGGACGGGUGAGUAAUGCUUGGGAAAAUGCCUUGAGGUGGGGGACAACAGUUGGAAACGACUGCUAAUACCGCAUAAUGUCUACGGACCAAAGGGGGCUUCGGCUCUCGCCUUUAGAUUGGCCCAAGUGUGAUUAGCUAGUUGGUGAGGUAAUGGCUUACCAAGGCGACGAUCCCUAGCUGGUUUGAGAGGAUGAUC